This 107-nucleotide small nuclear RNA is filed under the name Myotis davidii. Lineage: Eukaryota; Metazoa; Chordata; Mammalia; Chiroptera; Vespertilionidae. The record is from RNAcentral.
GUGCUCGCUUCACUGGCACAUAUACUAAAAUUGGAAUGAUACAGAGAAGAUUAGCAUGGCCCCUGUGCAAGGAUGACACACAAAUUCGUGAAGCGUUCCGUAUUUAA